UUCGGCAGAGCUUGACAGUAAAGCAUCUCCUUUACACUGAGACCAUAUUUGUGCAAUUCAAAUUGCCGAGA
Molecule: transfer RNA, 71 nt
Filed under: Nepanthia sp. M04
Lineage: Eukaryota; Metazoa; Echinodermata; Asteroidea; Valvatida; Asterinidae
Description: tRNA-Val
Rfam family: tRNA
About the family: Transfer RNA (tRNA) molecules are approximately 80 nucleotides in length. Their secondary structure includes four short double-helical elements and three loops (D, anti-codon, and T loops).
Source: RNAcentral